AUUGAACGCUGGCGGAAUGCUUUACACAUGCAAGUCGAACGGUAGAGGGGGCAACCCCUUGAGAGUGGCGAACGGGUGAGUAAUAUAUCGGAACGUGCCCAGUCGUGGGGAUAACGUAGCGAAAGUUACGCUAAUACCGCAUACGAUCUAAGGAUGAAAGCGGGGGAUCGCAAGACCUCGCGCGAUUGGAGCGGCCGAUAUCAGAUUAGGUAGUUGGUGAGGUAAAGGCUCACCAAGCCAACGAUCUGUAGCUGGUCUGAGAGGACGACCAGCCACACUGGAACUGAGACACGGUCCAGACUCCUACGGGAGGCAGCAGUGGGGAAUUUUGGACAAUGGACGCAAGUCUGAUCCAGCCAUUCCGCGUGCAGGAUGAAGGCCCUCGGGUUGUAAACUGCUUUUGUACGGAACGAAAAGGUUUGUCUUAAUACAGUUUGCUAAUGACGGUACCGUAAGAAUAAGCACCGGCUAACUACGUGCCAGCAGCCGC
This 490-nucleotide ribosomal RNA is filed under the name uncultured bacterium. Its description in RNAcentral is "bacterial SSU rRNA". It matches the Rfam family "Bacterial small subunit ribosomal RNA", at positions 30 to 518 of the family's 1533-position model. The record is from RNAcentral.